This 460-nucleotide ribosomal RNA is filed under the name uncultured bacterium. Its description in RNAcentral is "partial 16S ribosomal RNA". It matches the Rfam family "Bacterial small subunit ribosomal RNA", at positions 338 to 795 of the family's 1533-position model. The record is from RNAcentral.
CCUACGGGCGGCAGCAGUGAGGAAUAUUGGUCAAUGGACGAGAGUCUGAACCAGCCAAGUAGCGUGAAGGAUGACUGCCCUAUGGGUUGUAAACUUCUUUUAUAUGGGAAUAAAACGUUCCACGUGUGGGAUUUUGUAUGUACCAUAUGAAUAAGGAUCGGCUAACUCCGUGCCAGCAGCCGCGGUAAUACGGAGGAUCCGAGUGUUAUCCGGAUUUAUUGGGUUUAAAGGGAGCGUAGGUGGAUUGUUAAGUCAGUUGUGAAAGUUUGCGGCUCAACCGUAAAAUUGCAGUUGAAACUGGCAGUCUUGAGUACAGUAGAGGUGGGCGGAAUUCGUGGUGUAGCGGUGAAAUGCUUAGAUAUCACGAAGAACUCCGAUUGCGAAGGCAGUUCACUGGACUGCAACUGACACUGAGGCUCGAAAGUGUGGGUAUCAAACAGGAUUAGAUACCCUAGUAGUC